Long non-coding RNA from Drosophila navojoa, 533 nucleotides. RefSeq lists it as uncharacterized. Lineage: Eukaryota; Metazoa; Arthropoda; Insecta; Diptera; Drosophilidae. The record is from RefSeq and is a predicted model, not a curated record.
GCCCGGCCUAUAAGCAUCAACUCAACUAAUACUCAUUCAAACUUUUCGGCUCGUCCCGUAUACUUCUAUAUAUUUUAUGUGUGCUUACUUAUUUUUUGGGAAAUGUUGAAGUCCUUCCUGUAACAAUUAUAUUUAAAUAUAUAUAUCGAGUGUGCUGGCUUUUGGAUAUUUUCAACCACAUCGAAAUUUUCUGAGAGCUACACUGAGAUUAUUAUUGGAUAUAAUUAUUGUAGUACCUUUUUCCGUGAAGAACCCAAGAAUAAUCACCUAGCAAAAUGUGUUGCGGACCUUGCUACUCCUGUUGUGGACCUUGCGGUGGCUGCUGCGGACCCUGCGCUGGCUGCUGUGGACCCUGUGGCGGAUGUUGCUAUCGCUAUUCCUGCUGUGGACCCUGUUUUGGACGCUGCUGUGGCGGCUGUGGACCCUGUUGCUAACUACUCUGCUCUUCAGAAGGAAAUCUAGGUACUAUCAAACCAUAAGUGCACGAUAGAAAUGUCACCAUACCUUACAUACAUGUCGAAAUUUGUAUGUUU